ACGCUCGACACCUACGGGAGCAGCAGUUGGGAAUAUUGGACAAUGGAGGAAACUCUGAUCCAGUGACGCCGCGUGAAGGGAGAAGGUCUUCGGAUUGUAAACUUAUUUUGUCAGGGAAGAAAAAAUGACUGUACCUGAAGAAAAAGCACCGGCUAACUACGUGCCAACAGCCGCCGGUAAUCUGAGCGGGCGUGGCAAGGCG
Molecule: ribosomal RNA, 202 nt
Filed under: uncultured bacterium
Lineage: Bacteria
Description: partial 16S ribosomal RNA
Rfam family: Bacterial small subunit ribosomal RNA
Source: RNAcentral